Molecule: transfer RNA, 72 nt
Filed under: Lactobacillus delbrueckii
Lineage: Bacteria; Bacillati; Bacillota; Bacilli; Lactobacillales; Lactobacillaceae
Also listed under: 9 other names
Description: tRNA-Gly
Rfam family: tRNA
About the family: Transfer RNA (tRNA) molecules are approximately 80 nucleotides in length. Their secondary structure includes four short double-helical elements and three loops (D, anti-codon, and T loops).
Source: RNAcentral
GCGGAAGUAGUUCAGUGGUAGAACAUCACCUUGCCAUGGUGGGGGUCGCGGGUUCAAAUCCCGUCUUCCGCU